Molecule: long non-coding RNA, 1163 nt
Organism: Drosophila sulfurigaster albostrigata
Lineage: Eukaryota; Metazoa; Arthropoda; Insecta; Diptera; Drosophilidae
Exons: 3
Source: RefSeq, a predicted model, not a curated record
UGGUUAUAAUUUUUUAACACUCAGAGUCCACAGUUUAGCGAGAAGUGACGAUAACUAAAAUACAGGCAAAGAGAAAUUUAAUUAAUACGAGAAGUAUGUCAUCCAAACUAAAGUUAAUAAACCUGUGGAUUGUUUUGUCGUUACUGAUAUUGCUAAUUGCCUGCGGAAAUGCGAGAUCCCAGAAGCUAACGUGCCACGAACAGCAAGGAGAAUGUAUGGCUUUUUGCAAUAUUCAAUUGCAUAUAAAUGCCACUGACUGUCGCAAGGAUCAAGUAUGCUGUCUUUUGAUUUAAAUUGUUCUUCUAUGAAAUUGUAAUACCAUCAGCAAUAAAAAAUAAUAUAACAUAAUUACACUCUAAUAGUGUAAUUUGAGUGAAUAACUGCUUUGCUUUGAUUUUGAAUUUAGCUUAUGCGCAUUCUAAGCGUUCUUGUGUAUAAGUUUUUAUUUUUUUUGGAACGUAGUUUGUAUAUUUUCAAAAGUGAUAUUAUAAUUUAAAUUGAAGUGAAAUUAAUAAAAUAAACAUUUUAGUUAAUAAUUGCAUCUCUACAUUCUGCACUCCGAUGUUGUGCAAAUGUAAAAGUUUACUUAUAACAUAAAUUUCAAUUGCAGCCGAAUAGGUGAACAGGUUUAAUACACUGUGAGUCACGGUUGUUGCCAUUUUUACUAAUUACAUUGUCUAAUGAAAUUUAUGCCAAAUGAUGCGUUGUUGCUGACGUUGUUUAUAAUACUAAUGUGGCAAGAAAGUACUUUUAAAUAGCGUAAAUAAUGAAGUUAAGAUGGUUUCGGUAUACACUAUGUAAGCUUGGUUAUACUUCUUAAACAUUAAGAGUCCACAGUUCAGCAAGAAUUGACGAUAAAUAAUUUACAGACAGAGAGAAUUAUGUCAUCCAAACUAAAGUUGAUAAACCUGUGGACUGUGUUGUCGUUAGUGAUAUUUCUAUUUGUCUGCGGAAGUGCGAGAUCCCAGCAGCUAACGUGCCACGAACAGCAAGGAGAAUGUAUGGCUUUUUGCAAUAUUCAAUUGCAAAAAAAUGCCACCGACUGCCGCAAGGACCAAGUAUGCUGUGUUUUGGUUUAAAUUGUUCUUCUAUGAAAUUUUCUAUCUAUCAGCAAUAAAAAAUAAUAUAACAUAAUUACACUUUAAUAGUGUAAUUUGAGUGAA